This 328-nucleotide ribosomal RNA is filed under the name uncultured eukaryote. Its description in RNAcentral is "partial 18S ribosomal RNA". It matches the Rfam family "Eukaryotic small subunit ribosomal RNA", at positions 1470 to 1796 of the family's 1831-position model. The record is from RNAcentral.
CCCUUAGAUGUUCUGGGCCGCACGCGCGCUACACUGAUCGGUGCAACAAGCAUCCGUCCUUGGCCGACAGGCCCGGGCAAUCUUUGAACGCCGGUCGUGAUGGGGAUAGACCUUUGCAAUUUUUGGUCUUCAACGAGGAAUUCCUAGUAAACGCAAGUCAUCAACUUGCAUUGAUUACGUCCCUGCCCUUUGUACACACCGCCCGUCGCACCUACCGAUUGAAUGGUCCGGUGAAAUCUUCGGAUCUGAGAGAUGUCUGAUUAAUUUCGGACGCCUUUUGGAAAAGUUGCUUAAACCUUACCAUUUAGAGGAAGGUGAAGUCGUAACA